GAUGAACGCUAGCUACAGGCUUAACACAUGCAAGUCGAGGGGCAGCAUGGUCUUAGCUUGCUAAGGCCGAUGGCGACCGGCGCACGGGUGAGUAACACGUAUCCAACCUGCCGUCUACUCUUGGACAGCCUUCUGAAAGGAAGAUUAAUACAAGAUGGCAUCAUGAGUCCGCAUGUUCACAUGAUUAAAGGUAUUCCGGUAGACGAUGGGGAUGCGUUCCAUUAGAUAGUAGGCGGGGUAACGGCCCACCUAGUCUUCGAUGGAUAGGGGUUCUGAGAGGAAGGUCCCCCACAUUGGAACUGAGACACGGUCCAAACUCCUACGGGAGGCAGCAGUGAGGAAUAUUGGUCAAUGGGCGAGAGCCUGAACCAGCCAAGUAGCGUGAAGGAUGACUGCCCUAUGGGUUGUAAACUUCUUUUAUAAAGGAAUAAAGUUGGGUAUGGAUACCCGUUUGCAUGUACUUUAUGAAUAAGGAUCGGCUAACUCCGUG
This 490-nucleotide ribosomal RNA is filed under the name uncultured bacterium. RNAcentral's name for it is "partial 16S ribosomal RNA". It matches the Rfam family "Bacterial small subunit ribosomal RNA", at positions 28 to 507 of the family's 1533-position model. The record is from RNAcentral.